CAAUUGUUGCUUUUUUUUCCACUUUUAUAAUCACAAUUUAUUGCUUGAAUUGGAUAUUUUUGUUAGAUUGCCAUGGAUUCUUGAUUUGGAUAUUGUCAAAUGGCAGAAAUUGAAGUUCUUUCUUUUGUUUAUGCAUGAGUUAGAGUUAACCUAAAACUUUCCAUAUAAGCACAAUAUAAAAAAACACAGUACUCAACUGUAGAUCUAGUCGUUUUCAAUGUGUUUUUUGCACUUAAAUAGCUCAAAGGUUGGAUGAAUCCUAAGCCAAGGCCAACCAAUUUAAAGACCAAUAAAAAUUUGCUUAUACAAACUUAGAAGUGAAACGAGCUCUAAAACUUCACAUUUCUAUAUUAAAAAUGAUAAUAAAAAAAAAGGCCACAUCAUUUCAUUGCACUUCAAAAAGCACUCAAUCUCUAUGACCAAGUUUCUGUUUAGCAUUGAUGUGUCAAGGCCAAAAUUGCAAGCACCAUUUUAGAUGCAUUAAAAAAAAAAAGUUUGAAAUUUUAGUGUUCUAAUAACUAAAAUUUAUCAAAUUUAA
This 538-nucleotide unclassified non-coding RNA is filed under the name Hevea brasiliensis (rubber tree). The record is from RNAcentral. Lineage: Eukaryota; Viridiplantae; Streptophyta; Magnoliopsida; Malpighiales; Euphorbiaceae.